Molecule: ribosomal RNA, 465 nt
Filed under: Vreelandella stevensii
Lineage: Bacteria; Pseudomonadati; Pseudomonadota; Gammaproteobacteria; Oceanospirillales; Halomonadaceae
Description: partial 16S ribosomal RNA
Rfam family: Bacterial small subunit ribosomal RNA
Source: RNAcentral
CCUACGGGGGGCAGCAGUGGGGAAUAUUGGACAAUGGGGGGAACCCUGAUCCAGCCAUGCCGCGUGUGUGAAGAAGGCCCUCGGGUUUUAAAGCACUUUCAGUGAGGAAGAACGCCUGGUGGUUAAUACCCAUCAGGAAAGACAUCACUCACAGAAGAAGCACCGGCUAACUCCGUGCCAGCAGCCGCGGUAAUACGGAGGGUGCGAGCGUUAAUCGGAAUUACUGGGCGUAAAGCGCGCGUAGGUGGCUUGAUAAGCCGGUUGUGAAAGCCCCGGGCUCAACCUGGGAACGGCAUCCGGAACUGUCAAGCUAGAGUGCAGGAGAGGAAGGUAGAAUUCCCGGUGUAGCGGUGAAAUGCGUAGAGAUCGGGAGGAAUACCAGUGGCGAAGGCGGCCUUCUGGACUGACACUGACACUGAGGUGCGAAAGCGUGGGUAGCAAACAGGAUUAGAUACCCGUGUAGUC